UCUCCAGUGGCUCAGUUGGUAAAGAAUCUGCCUGCAAUGCAGGAGACCCAGGUUCGAUCCCUGGGUCGGGAA
RNAcentral lists this transfer RNA (72 nucleotides) under Ovis aries (sheep). It matches the Rfam family "tRNA". Rfam says of the family: Transfer RNA (tRNA) molecules are approximately 80 nucleotides in length. Their secondary structure includes four short double-helical elements and three loops (D, anti-codon, and T loops). The record is from Rfam by way of RNAcentral. Lineage: Eukaryota; Metazoa; Chordata; Mammalia; Artiodactyla; Bovidae.